UUUUCGCGGUGAAUCCUGUUA
This 21-nucleotide non-coding RNA is filed under the name Caenorhabditis elegans. Lineage: Eukaryota; Metazoa; Nematoda; Chromadorea; Rhabditida; Rhabditidae. The record is from RNAcentral.